GACACAAGCAGGAGUCUCCAGGUCCAAGGCCGUUAAGGCUUUGAAGGCAGCCGAUGGAGACAUAGUUUCUGCUAUUAUGGAGCUUACCAACUGAUAGGAGCCUUACUUAAAUUGUUAUGUGAUUAAGUGGCAUUUUUAUUAUGGUUCACCAUAUUUGUGUGAUUUGAAGUCGGGAUUUUUUUCUUUUUGCCCCCCAAAAUUUGUUAUUUUCAUAUGGAUUUACCUCGGUUCUGUUGUAUUACUAAACGAAUAUGAAAUGCAUCUUUUGGUGAUUAAUUGGAGUUUUCAUUUCUUUAGUCAAAA
Molecule: unclassified non-coding RNA, 303 nt
Filed under: Hevea brasiliensis (rubber tree)
Lineage: Eukaryota; Viridiplantae; Streptophyta; Magnoliopsida; Malpighiales; Euphorbiaceae
Source: RNAcentral